ACGAACGCUGGCGGCAUGCCUAACACCUGCAAGUCGAACGAGACCUUCGGGUCUAGUGGCGCACGGGUGCGUAACGCGUGGGAACCUGCCCUUAGGUUCGGAAUAACUCCCCGAAAGGGGUGCUAAUACCGGAUAAUGUCUUCGGACCAAAGAUUUAUCGCCUUUGGAUGGGCCCGCGUUGGAUUAGCUAGUUGGUAGGGUAAAAGCCUACCAAGGCGACGAUCCAUAGCUGGUCUGAGAGGAUGAUCAGCCACACUGGGACUGAGACACGGCCCAGACUCCUACGGGAGGCAGCAGUGGGGAAUAUUGGACAAUGGGCGAAAGCCUGAUCCAGCAAUGCCGCGUGAGUGAUGAAGGCCCUAGGGUUGUAAAGCUCUUUUACCCGGGAUGAUAAUGACAGUACCGGGAGAAUAAGCUCCGGCUAACUCCGUG
RNAcentral lists this ribosomal RNA (432 nucleotides) under uncultured bacterium. Its description in RNAcentral is "partial 16S ribosomal RNA". It matches the Rfam family "Bacterial small subunit ribosomal RNA", at positions 29 to 507 of the family's 1533-position model. The record is from RNAcentral.